GGCGAAUAGGGCCCUGAGCAGACCGUGCCUUUAGUCCGGGGAAGCUCCGGGUUUAGGUGGGUCUCUCGGUUGGGCUUUCCCCCACCAAGGACCCCUUUUUCCCCUGCAGAAGCCACGUUUGCAGCACCACAUCCCCCGGAUGACCGUGCCCGCUGACUCACCGGAGGCUUCAUAACUCGGGAGGCUCUGUCCAUUUCUCACAUCCACAAGUCCAUCUUCUCUUGGCUCAAAGCUCUCCCUUGGGUACACUGUAUCAGGAAUGGGAUAAGAUCUGCGGUUAAUACUGUGAUCAGGAAGCUGCAAAUGGAACUGGAGCAGAGAAAAAGAGGAAAGAAGAAGUGUUAACUAGGGGGUCCUGUUAAAAGGGGGAAACUGCCUCCAGAAGCCUGGCUCAGCUCCAGGCAAGAGAGAAACAGACUGGGGGAGCUGGCAGAUCAGGGAAGUUACAGUCACUGAGUCAUUCUGGUGAAGUUUGGCCUGGUUCUGUGAAACUGAGCCACCGGCCUCCAACUCUGGGAUCAGUAGCCCCAGGCCCUUGUCUUUGCAGAGUUCUUAGUGGUUGGCAGCAUCCUGGAACAUCCAAGGAAGGAUACGCUCUAGAGUGGGGCUAGCAGCUGCCAAGGCUUCUAAAAAGACCUCAAAAUCCACCAGCCUCAUGGCAAAGAAGAACAAGUCCCAACUUUUCUUGCUUCAGAGCCCUGGAGGAGCUAUUUGAACUGCUGUCCAGACCCCCAGCUGUGCACAGCCAUUCCAGGACCAAGUGGAUGCCAAGGUGCCUGACAGAGCUGAGUUGUGCUGGAAACACAAAACCGUCCAACCAUUCACUGAGAAAUUCUACCCAGGACCCAGGGAACCAGGUUUUCUUCCAGCUCUUCUGCAAAACAAAGAAUAGAGAAGUGGAUGCAUGUUCGAUUCCUGCACUCCCCGCCUACAGACCUCAGAGCCCAGGCCAUGGCAGUAUUGCAAAGGGACAACAAACCCAUGGGUCCCUCCAGAAUGGACUGUAAAUGAAAUAUGUUCUAGUGUCUUUAAAGAAUAAAAUAGAAAUUUAUUUAAAAGUGUUGCAAAAUUCAUAGUAGCUCAUGAAUAUGUAUUUCUCCAACACC
This 1106-nucleotide long non-coding RNA is filed under the name Equus caballus (horse). RNAcentral's name for it is "lncRNA (ENSECAG00000053942.1)". Lineage: Eukaryota; Metazoa; Chordata; Mammalia; Perissodactyla; Equidae. The record is from RNAcentral.